GAUCCUGGCUCAGAUUGGACGCUGGCGGCAGGCCUAACACAUGCAAGUCGAGCGGAUGAAGAGAGCUUGCUCUCUGAUUCAGCGGCGGACGGGUGAGUAAUGCCUAGGAAUCUGCCUGAUAGUGGGGGACAACGUUUCGAAAGGAACGCUAAUACCGCAUACGUCCUACGGGAGAAAGCAGGGGACCUUCGGACCUUGCGCUAUCAGAUGAGCCUAGGUCGGAUUAG
This 227-nucleotide ribosomal RNA is filed under the name uncultured bacterium. RNAcentral describes it as "partial 16S ribosomal RNA". It matches the Rfam family "Bacterial small subunit ribosomal RNA", at positions 15 to 244 of the family's 1533-position model. The record is from RNAcentral.